GAUGAACGCUGGCGGCGUGCCUAAUACAUGCAAGUCGAGCGAACAGACGAGGCGCUUGCUCCUCUGACGUUAGCGGCGGACGGGUGAGUAACACGUGGAUAACCUACCUAUAAGACUGGGAUAACUUCGGGAAACCGGAGCUAAUACCGGAUAAUAUAUUGAACCGCAUGGUUCAAUAGUGAAAGUCGGUUUUGCUGUCACUUAUAGCUGGAUCCGCGCCGCAUUAGCUAGUUGGUAAGGUAACGGCUUACCAAGGCAACGAGGCGUAGCCGACCGGAGAGGGUGAUCGGCCACCUGGGAGCUUAGCCACGGUCCAGACGCCUACGGGAGGCAGCAGUAGGGAAUCUGACGCAAUGGGCGAAAGCUUGACGGAGCAACGGCGCGUGAGUGAUGAAGGUCUUCGGAUCGUAAAACUGUGUUAUUAGGGAAGAACAAAUGUGUAAGUAACUAUGCACGUCUUGACGGUACCUAAUCAGAAAGCCACGGCUAACUACGUG
This 497-nucleotide ribosomal RNA is filed under the name uncultured bacterium. RNAcentral's name for it is "partial 16S ribosomal RNA". It matches the Rfam family "Bacterial small subunit ribosomal RNA", at positions 28 to 507 of the family's 1533-position model. The record is from RNAcentral.